AUUUUAGUCUUAUUAGAGGAACCUGUUUUUUAAUUGAUAAUCCACGAUUAAUUUUACUUAUUUAAAUAAUUCAUAUAUCGCUGUCAUGAAUAUAUUUAAAAAUUUAUUUUCUUUAUUUAUUUUUAUAAUUUAUGUUAAGUCAAGAUGUGGUUAAUAAAUAAGUAUAUAAUGGGUUACAUUAAAUUUUAUUUUUGGAUUUUAAAUGAAAAUUAAGAUGAAAUUGGAUUUAAUAGUAAAUUUAUUUAUUUAAUUAAUAUGAAUAAAGAUCUAAAAUAUGUACAUAUUGCCCGUCAUUCUUAUUAAAAAUAAGACAAGUCGUAACAAAGUAAAUGUACUGGAAAGUGUAUUUAGAAAGAAAAUAAAUAUCUAAA
This 371-nucleotide ribosomal RNA is filed under the name Sitobion ibarae. RNAcentral's name for it is "partial 12S ribosomal RNA". Lineage: Eukaryota; Metazoa; Arthropoda; Insecta; Hemiptera; Aphididae. The record is from RNAcentral.